Molecule: ribosomal RNA, 460 nt
Filed under: uncultured bacterium
Lineage: Bacteria
Description: partial 16S ribosomal RNA
Rfam family: Bacterial small subunit ribosomal RNA
Source: RNAcentral
CCUACGGGAGGCAGCAGUGAGGAAUAUUGGUCAAUGGCCGGAAGGCUGAACCAGCCAUGCCGCGUGAAGGUCAGUGCCCUAUGGGCGUUAAACUUCUUUUGUGCGGGAGCAAUAAUGGUCACGUGUGGCCAGACGAGAGUACCGUACGAAUAAGCAUCGGCUAACUCCGUGCCAGCAGCCGCGGUAAUACGGGGGAUGCAAGCGUUAUCAGGAUUUAUUGGGUUGAAAGGGGGCGUAGGCUGUGAGGUAAGUCAGCGGUGAAAUGCCCCCGCUCAACGGGGUGAAGUGCCAUUGAUACUGCCUUGCUGUAAUGCGGAUGCCGUGGGAGGAAUGUGUGGUGUAGCGGGGAAAUGCAUAGAUAUCACACAGAACACCGAUUGCGAAGGCAUCUCACGAAUCCGCGAUUGACGCUGAUGCACGAAAGCGUGGGUAUCAAACAGGAUUAGAUACCCGAGUAGUC